This 406-nucleotide ribosomal RNA is filed under the name uncultured bacterium. RNAcentral describes it as "bacterial SSU rRNA". It matches the Rfam family "Bacterial small subunit ribosomal RNA", at positions 28 to 414 of the family's 1533-position model. The record is from RNAcentral.
GAUGAACGCUGGCGGCGUGCUUAACACAUGCAAGUCGAACGGGAAUUACUUUAUUGAAACUUCGGUCGAUAUGAUUUAAUUCUAGUGGCGGACGGGUGAGUAACGCGUGGGUAACCUGCCUUAUACAGGGGAGUAACAGUCAGAAAUGACUGCUAAUACCGCAUAAGCGCACAGAGCUGCAUGGCUCGGUGUGAAAAAACUCCGGUGGUAUAAGAUGGACCCGCGUUGGAUUAGCUAGUUGGUGAGGUAACGGCCCACCAAGGACGACGAUCCAUAGCCGGCCUGAGAGGGUGAACGGCCACAUUGGGACUGAGACACGGCCCAGACUCCUACGGGAGGCAGCAGUGGGGAAUAUUGCACAAUGGGGGAAACCCGUGAUGCAGCGACGCCGCGUGAAGGAAGAAGU